UGGGGAAUAUUGCACAAUGGGCGAAAGCCUGAUGCAGCAACGCCGCGUGAGUGAUGAAGGUCUUCGGAUUGUAAAGCUCUGUCCUUUGGGACGAUAAUGACGGUACCAAAGGAGGAAGCCACGGCUAACUACGUGCCAGCAGCCGCGGUAAUACGUAGGUGGCGAGCGUUGUCCGGAUUUACUGGGCGUAAAGGGUGCGUAGGCGGAUGUUUAAGUGAGAUGUGAAAUACCCGGGCUUAACUUGGGUGCUGCAUUUCAAACUGGAUAUCUAGAGUGCAGGAGAGGAGAAUGGAAUUCCUAGUGUAGCGGUGAAAUGCGUAGAGAUUAGGAAGAACACCAGUGGCGAAGGCGAUUCUCUGGACUGUAACUGACGCUGAGGCACGAAAGCGUGGGUAGCAAACAGGAUUAGAUACCCUGGUAGUCCACGCCGUAAACGGUGAGUACUAGGUGUAGGAGGUAUCGACCCCUUCUGUGCCGCAGUAAACACAUUAAGUACUCCGCCUGGGAAGUACGAUCGCAAGAUUAAAACUCU
This 532-nucleotide ribosomal RNA is filed under the name uncultured bacterium. Its description in RNAcentral is "partial 16S ribosomal RNA". It matches the Rfam family "Bacterial small subunit ribosomal RNA", at positions 355 to 903 of the family's 1533-position model. The record is from RNAcentral.